Molecule: ribosomal RNA, 374 nt
Filed under: uncultured bacterium
Lineage: Bacteria
Description: partial 16S ribosomal RNA
Rfam family: Bacterial small subunit ribosomal RNA
Source: RNAcentral
AUACGGAGGAUCCGAGCGUUAUCCGGAUUUAUUGGGUUUAAAGGGUGCGCAGGCGGCCAUUUAAGUCAGCGGUUAAAUCGUGGGGCUCAACCCCAUUCUGCCGUUGAUACUGGGUGGCUUGAUUGCGGUCGAGGUUGGCGGAAUUCGUUGUGUGGCGGUGAAAUGCAUAGAUAUGACGAAGAACACCGAUUGCGUAGGCAGCUGACCAGACCGCAAAUGACGCUCAUGCACGAAAGUGCGGGGAUCGAACAGGAUUAGAUACCCUGGUAGUCCGCACAGUAAACGAUGAAUACUUGUUUUCGGCGAUAUAAUGUCGGAGGCAAAGCGAAAGCGAUAAGUAUUCCACCUGGGGAGUACGCCGGCAACGGUGAAAC